UUUUAUGUUACAGUGUACUGCUUAUUUAUGUUAUAGUGUAUUGCUAUUUAGGUUAACAAUAUACUGUUGGUUGUUAUUGCCUGUUAAGUUAUAAUGUUAAUUCUAGUUUAUGUUUUCAAAACAGGUUAACAUUCUGAAAGUUGUUUAUAUUUCGAAAUAUGGUUCAAGAGAACUCAUACUAUGGAUGUGGUUUAUAAAUGAUUUGUUUUGCUAUGGAGAAACAAUACAAGAAAUAUGAAGCAAUUUUGG
RNAcentral lists this long non-coding RNA (249 nucleotides) under Lathyrus oleraceus (garden pea). RNAcentral describes it as "Pisum sativum (pea) long non-coding RNA (PSAT_LNC022993)". The record is from RNAcentral. Lineage: Eukaryota; Viridiplantae; Streptophyta; Magnoliopsida; Fabales; Fabaceae.